CAGCCGCCGCGGUAAUACGUAGGGGGCGAGCGUUGUCCGGAAUUACUGGGCGUAAAGGGCGUGUAGGCGGCCUGUUAAGUCAGGGGUGAAAGACCGGGGCUCAACCCCGGGGGUGCCUCUGAAACUGGCGGGCUUGAGUGCUCUAGAGGGCAGUGGAAUUCCCGGUGUAGCAGUGAAAUGCGUAGAGAUCGGGAGGAACGCCAGUGGCGAAGGCGGCUGCCUGGGGAGUCACUGACGCUGAGGCGCGAAAGCUAGGGGAGCAAACAGGAUUAGAUACCCUGGUAGUCCUAGCCGUAAACGAUGAGCGCUAUGUGUGAGGGGUAUCGACCCCCCUCGUGCAGUAGCUAACGCAUUAAGCGCUCCGCCUGGGGAGUACGGCCGCAAGGUUGAAACUUAAAGGAAUUGGCGGG
RNAcentral lists this ribosomal RNA (410 nucleotides) under uncultured microorganism. RNAcentral's name for it is "bacterial SSU rRNA". It matches the Rfam family "Bacterial small subunit ribosomal RNA", at positions 509 to 917 of the family's 1533-position model. The record is from RNAcentral.